Paramuricea clavata is the source of this 358-nucleotide non-coding RNA. NCBI's taxonomy places the organism in Eukaryota, Metazoa, Cnidaria, Anthozoa, Malacalcyonacea, Plexauridae. The record is from the annotation of a GenBank genome assembly.
AGACAACAGGACUAAUAAAGUCCCAAAUUAAGUCCUGCCAUACAUGAAAAUACUACGCUAUACUAUGCUAUACUAUACUAUAAACGGUUAUAAAAUUAACAAAAUACAUAGCUAGUUACAUAUUUACGGUAUUACAUAAUUACAUUCGUACAAAAACUCAGAACAUGCACUUCUACGAACAACAGGACGUAAAACAAGAACGACAUUUAGAGCAAAACGUUUUCCAAGUCCUAGGCCUAUUAACAUCAAAACAUGCAUUAACUUUUUGAGUGUAGUGAUUAGUUUAGAUGAAUUUCAUAGGAAUAUUUUACAAGGGGGCGAAGUCCUGGGCUACCAGUUUGAACCUAGACGAAAUACC